CCCUAUUAUUUUAGAGCGUUAAUUUUGUUUGUCUGAGUAGUAUUAGUUAUGUUCUUGAAACUUAAAGAAUUUGGCGGUAUCUUAUUCCAUCCAGAGGAAUCUGUCUCGUUAUCGAUAGUCCGCGUUGGACCUUACUUAGUUGUUGAUGGUUUGUAUACCGCCGUUUAUUGAUUAUCUUUUUAGAGUUUAUUAAUUUUCUAGUUUCUUUAUUUUGAUUUAUUUCAGGUCAAGGUGCAGCUUGUUUCUAAGUGGAUGAUGGAUUACAUUGUUAUUUGUUUUAUUGGAUUGUUGGUUUUAAAUAUUGAUAUGAAAUUGGAUUUGGUUGUAAUGUUUCGUAGAUUGUUUUCGUGAUAAUUGGUUCUGGGAUAUGUACACAUCGCCCGUCGCUCUCGUUUGUUUAAUGAGAUAAGUC
Molecule: ribosomal RNA, 412 nt
Filed under: Astratotermes cf. aneristus
Lineage: Eukaryota; Metazoa; Arthropoda; Insecta; Blattodea; Termitidae
Description: partial 12S ribosomal RNA
Source: RNAcentral